UCCCAUCAGGUGGAGUGAUGUUAGG
RNAcentral lists this non-coding RNA (25 nucleotides) under Rattus norvegicus (Norway rat). The record is from RNAcentral. Lineage: Eukaryota; Metazoa; Chordata; Mammalia; Rodentia; Muridae.